Hypanus sabinus (Atlantic stingray) is the source of this 7213-nucleotide long non-coding RNA. RefSeq lists it as uncharacterized. Lineage: Eukaryota; Metazoa; Chordata; Chondrichthyes; Myliobatiformes; Dasyatidae. The transcript is spliced from 3 exons. The record is from RefSeq and is a predicted model, not a curated record.
UGAUGGGAAUGAUGCAUCAAUGUAAUUGUGACAAGGAGAUGUGGCGGUGUCUUGGCAACCGUUGCUGUGGUGACGCGGGCCCGCGACAGCAGAAGCCUGGUAACGGUUGCCAGGGUGACGGCGCGAAGCGGGAUGGCGAAGGCCUGGGCUUCUUGCGGCAGGGAAUGUCGCUGCGGCUGUUACCCGCUGGAGGUGCCGCUCAGCCAGGACUGGCAGGAGAGGCAUGUGGCCCACUGGAUCGAGAAGCUCGGCUUCCCACAGUACAUGGAUUGUUUCAUUUCAAACAGAAUCUCAGGCAGGAAACUCAUUUUUGUCAACUGCUCUACUCUACCCAGUAUGGGAAUUACAGAUUUUGAACACAUGAAGGUGAUUUCCCAUGAGAUUCACAAGCUACUUGAUAUUGAAGAGCCUGCCUGGAAUCGCAGCAUUUCGCACCAUCGCAGGGAUCCCAUGGGCUUGUUUCUAGAGUGCAAGGCUCCAACAGGACCCAAGGCUGAUGCGCUAACAUUGGAAGAAUUCUUGAAAGAGCUGGAUGCCUGAAUUUCUCAAAAUCCUUCUGAAGAAAUUGGUAUCUCAACAUGAUGUCCCAGACUCUGGGACAUUGCUAGUUCUUAGAUUUCUGUCACAAUGUGUAACGUUGUGAAUCUGAUGGCAUUUACCUAGGUCAAUGUUUUUGUUCAAAGUAGCAUAAUCAAUCUUGCAAAUUAGUUGCAAAUAUCUAUAAAUAUCCAAAACCAUAAGUGUCCUGAGGGGCCAGGCCAAAUGCUUAUUUCAUAUUAUCCAUCAUUCAGUUCAGGAAUGUAAAUGUUUUGACACUAGCUACCUGAAAACUGGUCAUGAGUGGAAUAAAACAUUUGUUGUUAGAACAGAACAGUACAGGCCCUUCAGCCCACAAUGUUGUACCGACCUUUCAAUGCACUCCAUAAUUAAUCUAACCCUUCCCUCCUACAUAGUUCAUUACCCUCCACUUCUCUUACAUCUAUGUGCCUACCUAAAAUUCCUCUUAAAUGCCCCUAUCUCAAAUAUCACUUAAAUGCCCCUAGUGUAUCAGCCACCCCUGCAUUGUAUUCCAGGCACCAAACACUUUCUGCAUAAAAUAACCUACCUUUGACAUCUCCCUUAAACUUCCCUCCACCCACCUUCAAUGAAUGUCCUUUGGUAUUAACCAUUCCUGCCUUGGGGAAAAGUCUCUGGUUAGCCACUCUUUCAAUGCAUCUCAUCAUCUUGCACAUCUCUAUCUAGUCACCUGUUAUCCUCCUUUACUCCAAAGAAAAAAGUCCUAGCUCAUAAGACAUACUCUCCAUCCUGUCUAAAGCUUCCACAUCUUUCCUAUAAAGAGGUGACCAGAACUGAAUGCAAGUGUGGUCUAACUAGAGUUUGCUAGAGCUGCAACAUUACCUGGUAACGUUUGAACUCAGUCUCCAGUCUAAAAAAGACCCUAUUGAUUGUAAUUAUUGCUCCUACUGAUAAUUAAGGUGGCUUUAAGUCACAUAUUGGGGCUCUAUAAAAUACAAACCUCUGUCAGUGAAAAAUGAUCACAGGUAUAUUCAAAUUAGUUCUCACUUCCACAGUCAAAUCUCUUAGCAAACGUCUCUUGCUCUUAACAUCCAACACAGAUUUCUACUCAAAUCUCACACUCCAUCACACAAACCAGUCUCCCUUCCAUUGACUCCACCUACACUUCCCACUGCCUCAGGAAAGCAACCAACAUAAUCAAAGAUUAGUCCCACCCCAGUUAUCCUAUCUUCUACCCCCUCCAGUUGGGCAGAAGAUACAAAAGCCUGGGAGCACAAAUCACUACCUUCUACCCCACUUUUAUCAGACUCUUGAAUGGAUCUCUAUGCUUAAUCUAUUCCAUCAUGGUCCUUGUAUUUUAUUUGUCUCCCUGUAUUAUACUUUCUCUACAUCUGAAACACUAUAUUCUGAAUUGUUUUCUUUUCACUAACAAGGUAUUUAAGUAUGGAAUGAUCUGUCGGUUUAGCAUACAAACACAAUCUUUUUUUCUGUAUCUCGGAAUACAUGUAAAUAAUAAACCAUUUCUAAUAUCUUCAUAAUUCAAAACAUACAGGUACAUUCAAAUGAACUCCUAUCGCAGAUAUUCCCUUCCUCUUCACCAUCCCUUCAGCAUCCUUCCCAAUAUGUUAAAAUUAUCAGUUUUAUCUUCCUUGCCCAAUCAGUUUUGAAACAUUAAGUCUUUUUCUUUAUCUACAGAUGGUGCUUGACCUAUGGAGAGUUUACAGCAUUUCUAUUUUCAUCUCUGACAGUCAGAUGUAGAUCACCCAUCACAAACUAAACCAUUUCCUCCAUUAAAAGAACAGUACAGGCCCUUCAGCACACCACGUUAUGAUAACCUUUUCUAAGAUCAAUCUUAUCCUUCCUCGUAAAUAACCUUACAUUUUUAUUUCGUCCAUGUGCCUAAGAGUCUCUUAAAUGUCUCCAAUGUAUCUGCUCUUACCACCACCCUUGGCAGAGCAUACUACGCACCUACCAUUCUGUGUGAAAAAACUACCUCUAAUAUCCCCCUCUCUACUUUCCUCCAAUCUCCUUAAAGUUAUGCCCCUUUGUAUAAGCCAUUUCCGCCCUAUGAAAAUGUAUAUAGCUGUCCACUCUAUCUCAGACUCUUAUAUCAGAUGAUAAGAGUCAACUAUUAAGUCACUUCUCAUCCUUGUUCACUCCAGGGAGAAAAGCUAUAGCCACUCAACCUUUCCUCAUAAGACACGCUGUCUAAUCCAGGUAGCAUCUUGGUAAAUCUCCUCUGCACCCUCUUUGCUUUCCUCACCACCGACUCCAAUUUUGUCCCGGCAGACCCAUAGUUUCAGCCUGCUCCUGCCCCACUGAACUUGUGUCUGCCUACCUGGACUCCAUUUUAUCCCCCAUAGUUCAGUCUCUCCCCACCUACAUCCAGGAUACAUCCCAUGCCCUUCACCUCUUCAAUAACUUCCAAUUCCCCGGCCUCGACCGCUUCAUUUUUCCCAUGGAUGUUCAAUCCUUUUACACCUCCAUUCCAUCAAGAAGGCCUCAAAGCCCUCCACUACUUUUUGGAUAACAGACCCCACCAGUUCCCCAGUACCACCACACUCCUCCAGUUGGUGGAGCUUGUUCUAACUCUCAAUAACUUCUCCUUUGGUUCUUCCCAUUUUCUCCAGAUCUAGGGCGUAGCCAUGGGCACUCGCAUGGGCCCCAGCUAUGCCUGCCUCUUUGUGGGUUAUGUGGAACAAUCUAUGCUCCAGAUCUAUACUGGCACCACUCCCCAACUUUUCCUCCGCUACAUUGACAACUACAUUGGUGCUGCUUCCUGCACCCAUGCUGAGCUCGUCAAUUUUGCUUCUAACUUUCACCCAGCCCUUAAAUUCACUUGGUCCAUCUCGGACACUUCUUUCCCCUUUCUUGAUCUCUCGGUCUCCAUCUCUGGAGACAGACUAUCCACUGACAUAUUCUACAAACCCAUUGACUCCCAUAACUAUCUUGACUAUACCUCUUCCCACCCUGCCCAACGCAAAAAUCCCAUUCCCUAUUCCCAGUUCCUCCAUGUCCGCCGCAUCUGCUCCCAGGAUGAGGCUUUCCGUUCCAGGACUUCUCAAAUGUCCUCUUUCUUUCAGGAUGAUGGUUUCCCUUCUGGUGUCAUUAAAGAUGCCCUCAUCCGCAUCUCCUCCACUUCCCGCACUUCAGCCCUUAACCCAUCCUCCCGUCACCACAACAGGGACCGGGCUCCCCUUGUCCUCACCUACCACCCCACCAGCCUCUGGAUCCAACACAUUAUCCUCCGCAACUUCCGCCACCUUCAACAGGACCCCACCGCAUCUUUCCCUCCCUACCCCUUUCAGCUUUUCACAGGGAUCGCUCCCUCCGCGGCUACUUGGUCCACAUGUCCCUCCCCACAGAACUCCCACCUGGCACUUAUUCCUGCAAGCGCAAAUGCUACACCUGUCCCCACACCUCCCCCCUUACCACCAUUCCGGGCCCCAGACAAUCCUUCCAGGUGAGGCAACACUUCACCUGUGAGUCUGCUGGAGUCUAUUGAAUCCGGUGCUCCCAGUGCGGCCUCCUCUACAUCGAAGGGGCCCGACGCAGAUUGGGGGACUGCUUCGUUGAGCAUCUAAGCUUUGUCCGUCACAAUAGACAGGACCUCCUGGUUGCUACCCAUUUCAACUCUGCCUCUCGUUCCCAUCUAGAUAUGUCCAUACAUGGCCUCCUUUACUGCCACAAUGAGGCCAAACUCAGGUUGGAGGAGCAACACCUCAUCUACCGUCUGGGUAACCUCCAGCCUGGUGAUAUGAACAUUGAAUUCUCCAAUUUCCGGUAAUUCCCUCCCCCUUCCCCUAUCCCAGGUCCCUCUCUCCCCUUUCAGCUUUCUGCUUCUUUAUCUCUACAAUUCUUUCAUGCUUAUCCCCUCCCCCUCCACCCUUUAUCUUUCCUCUGAUUGGUUUCCACCUGGCGCCUCUAGGCCCUACCCCCUCCCCUAUCUCUAUUACUGGGCUUCGGCCCUCUCUUCCCCCCCAUUCCUGAUGAAGGGCCUCGGCCCAAAACGUUGGCUACUCUUUUCUCACGGAUGCUGCCUGGCCUGCUGAGUUCUUCCAGUGUUGUGUACCUAUAAGUUAACCUUCAGGAUUUUCUGCACAAGAACUCCCAAGUCUCUCUGCAUCUCAGAUUCUGGAUUUUCUCCUUCUUAAGAAAACAGCCUGCACAUUUACUUCUACCAAAGUGCAUGACCAUGCAUUUUCCAACAUUGUAUUUCAUUUGCCACUUUCUUGCCUAUUCUCCUGAUCUGUCCUUCUGCAUCCUGUUUUCUCCACACUACCUGCCCCUCCACCAAUCUUUGUAUCACCUUCAAACUUGUGAACAAAGCCAUCUAUUCUAUCAUCUAAAUUAUUUAUAUACAGCAUAAAAAGAAGUGGUCCAAACACCAACCCCUGUUGAACACCCUACACUGGCAGCCAACCAGAAAAGGAUCCUUUUAUUCCCACUCACUGCCUCCUACCAAUCAGCCAAUUUAUGUCAACAACCUUGAGGAGCAAACAAAGUAUAAGGUAUCCAGUAGUGGGGGAGUCUAGGACCAGAGAACAUUGCCUCAGAACAGAAGGAACUGGAUAAUUCAAGCGAUGGAAGGUGAAUUUAAUAAUUAUUCAUAACAGAGGCUUGGUGCAUAAAUGUGGCAGUGUAUUUGAAGUACAGUUUGAAAUGCCGGACAUACAGGCUGUGAGCUUGGGAAAGGCUUCUGCCUUCACUGGCCCAUUUUGCCAGCCGUCCUCAGUGAAGGUCACUUUUAUCCUUACAUCUGAGGUUCCAGUUUCAAGCCCAUUUCAGAGGCCCAAGAAGAAAUUCUCGAAUGAGAGGUGGGAGACUCAAUGGGGCGAGGAACAGUCUCUGGACUCUUGGCCAGAAGAUCUCCCCAUUCCUGCUAUUUGUCAAACACUGAGUGGCAGGCCGGGGUUCAGGAGCAGUUCCUGGCAUCCUCACCAGAAAACCUCUCCAUUCUUGCAGAUUAUUGCUGCAGUUUGUGGGAGCUUGCUACAUAUACAUUGUCUGUUCCUGUAGUCUGGGCCAUAAUGUGAUAGUGAAAGGAGCUCCAGAAAUGCAAGCUUUUCUGCUUACAAAUAGCCUUACAAUAAACGAGGCAGCACAGCAGUGCCAACAACUUGGUUCAAUUCCACUGCUGUCUGUAAGGAGUUUGUACAUUCUUCCCAUGACCCAUGUGGGUUUCCUCCAGAAAAGUGCUCUAGUUUUCUCCCACAUUCUAAAGGCAUAUAACAGUUGGUUGCAGAAGUGUAAUUGGAUGGCACAGGCUCAUUGGGCUGGAAGGGCCUGCUACUGUGCUGCAUCUAUGCAAAAGUAAGAUAGAUAUGGUCCCAAAGGAAAAAUACUAGCAUGGAUAGAAGAUUGGCUGACUGGCAGGAGGCAAAAAGUGUGAAUAAAGGGACCCUGUUUUGGUUGACUGCUAGUGACUAGUGGUGUUCUGCAUGGGUUAGUAUUGGGACUGCUUCUUUUCACAUGAUAUGCUAACAAUUUGGAUGAUGGAAUUGUUGGCUUUCUGGCCAAGUUUGUAAACAAUACAAAGAUAGGUGGAGGGCCAGAGAGUAUUGAGAAAGCUGGAUGUCUGAGACAGAUUAGGAGAAUGGGCAAAGAAGUGGCAGUUGGAAUAUAGUGUAGGGAAAGUGUAUGGUCAUGCACUUUGGUAGAAGGAAUAAAGGUGUGGGCUAUUUUCUAAACGGGUAAGGAAGGCAAAUGCAAAGUUAAAAUUCAUUUUGAGAGGACUAGACUAUAAGAGACAAGAUGUAGUGCUGAGGUUCUAUAAGGCAUUGGUCAGACCACACUUGGAAUUUUGUGAACAGUUUUGGGCCUCUUAUCUAAGGAAAUAUGUGCUGGAAUUGGAGAAGGGCCAGAGGAGGGUCACAAAAAACUAUUCCAGGAAUUAAAGGGUUAACCCACGAGGAGUGUUUAAUGACUCUGGGCCCGUACUCACUGGAGUUUAGAAGAAUGGGGGGGGGGGGAAAUCUCAUUGAAACCUUUCAAAUAUUGAAAGACCUAGAUAGAGUGCAUAUUGAGAAUAUGUUUCCUAUAGUGAAUGAGUCUAGGACCAGAGGGAGCAGCCACAGAAUGGAGGGACAUCCAUUUAGAACAGAGAUGAAGGAUUUCUUUAUCCAGAGGGUGGUACAUCUGUGGAAUUCAUUGCCAUGGACAGCUGUGAAAGUCAAAUCAAUGAGUACAUCUAAAGCAGAGGAUAAGUUCUUGAUUAGUCAGGGCAUCAAAAAAGGCUAGAAAAUGAGGCUGGGAGGGAUAACAAAUUUCCUAUUCCCACAAUAUGCAAAAUCUUCUGUAACGGGAUUAAUGGUUAAAUCUUAAAGGUAAAACAAUAUAUGCAAUGUGCGCAAGUGUACUUCAGCAAAAAAACUCCUCGAUAAAUAAAGGGAACUCACCAAAAAUGGCCCAGACCCAUCAGGUUGUACACCUUGUGUCAUGUUAUGGAGAAUAAACUGGAAUCUCGAGAAUGUACUCCAACACAAACUGUUAACCCUGCAGAACUUCACUAUUAUGCUGACAUUGACAUUGUUACAUACUCUGGUGAAUUUCAGCCAACACUGAUGUUGCAAAACUGUUAGAUUAUUGUACAAUCAAGGCUUAUUUAGACUGAUUCUGAAUAAUGUGAUGUUACUAGUUGCACUAUCAAAAUGAUUUAAAAUAAAAGAAUUUCAGUAAAUAUCUUUCUAGUCCUGCU